This 405-nucleotide ribosomal RNA is filed under the name uncultured bacterium. RNAcentral describes it as "partial 16S ribosomal RNA". It matches the Rfam family "Bacterial small subunit ribosomal RNA", at positions 28 to 526 of the family's 1533-position model. The record is from RNAcentral.
GAUGAACGCUGGCGGCGUGCCUUACACAUGCAAGUCGAGCGAAGCGGGGACGGGUGAGUAACCCGUGGAUAACCUCCUCUAAGACUGGGAUAACUUCGGGAUACCUGAGCUAAAUCGGCCACUUAUAGAUGGAUCCUCGUUGCAUUAGCUAGUUGGUCAGGAAACGGCUGACCAAGGCAACGAUGCAUAGCCGGCCUGACAGGGCGAGCGGGCAAACUGGAACUGAGACACGGUCCAGACUCCGACGGGAGGCAGCAGUAGGGAAUCUUCCGCAAUGGGCGAAAGCAUGACAGAGCAACACCGCGUGAGUGAUGAAGGUCUUCGGAUCGUAAAGCUCUGUUAUUAGGGAAGCGGUAACUAAACAGAAAGCCACGGCUAACUACGUGCCAGCCGCCGCGGUAAUAC